UACGUAGGGGGCAAGCGUUGUCCGGAAUCAUUGGGCGUAAAGAGCGUGUAGGCGGCUCGGUAAGUCCGCUGUGAAAGUCCAGGGCUCAACCCUGGAACGUCGGAAGAACUGUCGAACUAGAGUCCGGAAGAGGCGAGUGGAAUUCCUGGUGUAGCGGUGAAAUGCGCAGAUAUCAGGAGGAACACCAAUGGCGAAGGCAGCUCGCUGGGACGGUACUGACGCCUGGAGACGCGAAAGCGUGGGAGC
RNAcentral lists this ribosomal RNA (246 nucleotides) under uncultured bacterium. RNAcentral's name for it is "partial 16S ribosomal RNA". It matches the Rfam family "Bacterial small subunit ribosomal RNA", at positions 524 to 769 of the family's 1533-position model. The record is from RNAcentral.